GAGUUCUAUGAAGUUUUCGGACGGAUUAAAACUUAGUGGCGGACGGGUGAGUAACGCGUGGGUAACCUGCCUCAUACAGGGGGAUAACAGUUGGAAACGGCUGCUAAAACCGCAUAAGCAUACAUUGUCGCAUGGCAGAGUGUGAAAAUAUUGAUAGGUAUGAGAUGGGCCCGCGUCUGAUUAGCUAGUUGGUAAGGUAACGGCUUACCAAGGCGACGAUCAGUAGCCGGCUUGAGAGAGUGACCGGCCACAUUGGGACUGAGACACGGCCCGAACUCCUACGGGAGGCAGCAGUGGGGAAUAUUGCACAAUGGGGGAAACCCUGAUGCAGCGACGCCGCGUGAGUGAAGAAGUAUUUCGGUAUGUAAAGCUCUAUCAGCAGGGAAGAUAAUGACGGUACCUGACUAAGAAGCCCCGGCUAACUACGUGCCAGCAGCCGCGGUAAUACGUAGGGGGCAAGCGUUAUCCGGAUUUACUGGGUGUAAAGGGAGCGUAGGUGGUUCGGUAAGUCAGAUGUGAAAGCCCGGGGCUCAACCCCGGGACUGCAUUUGAAACUAUCGAACUAGAGUGCAGGAGAGGUAAGUGGAAUUCCUAGUGUAGCGGUGAAAUGCGUAGAUAUUAGGAGGAACACCAGUGGCGAAGGCGGCUUACUGGACUGUAACUGACACUGAGGCUCGAAAGCGUGGGGAGCAAACAGGAUUAGAUACCCUGGUAGUCCACGCUGUAAACGAUGAAUACUAGGUGUCGGGGCCCUUCCGGGCUUCGGUGCCGCAGCUAACGCAAUAAGUAUUCCACCUGGGG
This 801-nucleotide ribosomal RNA is filed under the name uncultured bacterium. Its description in RNAcentral is "bacterial SSU rRNA". It matches the Rfam family "Bacterial small subunit ribosomal RNA", at positions 59 to 878 of the family's 1533-position model. The record is from RNAcentral.